Molecule: ribosomal RNA, 468 nt
Filed under: uncultured bacterium
Lineage: Bacteria
Description: partial 16S ribosomal RNA
Rfam family: Bacterial small subunit ribosomal RNA
Source: RNAcentral
GACGAACGCUGGCGGCGUGCUUAACACAUGCAAGUCGAACGGAAAGGCCCUGCUUUUGUGGGGUGCUCGAGUGGCGAACGGGUGAGUAACACGUGAGUAACCUGCCCUUGACUUUGGGAUAACUUCAGGAAACUGGGGCUAAUACCGGAUAGGAUCUCCUGCUGCAUGGUGGGGGUUGGAAAGUUUCGGCGGUUGGGGAUGGACUCGCGGCUUAUCAGCUUGUUGGUGGGGUAGUGGCUUACCAAGGCUUUGACGGGUAGCCGGCCUGGGAGGUUGACCGGCCACAUUGGGACUGAGAUACGGCCCAGACUCCUACGGGAGGCAGCAGUGGGGAAUAUUGCACAAUGGGCGGAAGCCUGAUGCAGCAACGCCGCGUGCGGGAUGACGGCCUUCGGGUUGUAAACCGCUUUCGCCGGUGACGAAGCGUGAGUGACGGUAAUGGGUAAAGAAGCACCGGCUAACUACGUG